This is a long non-coding RNA of Ostrea edulis (European flat oyster), 2191 nucleotides long. RefSeq lists it as uncharacterized. Lineage: Eukaryota; Metazoa; Mollusca; Bivalvia; Ostreida; Ostreidae. The record is from RefSeq and is a predicted model, not a curated record. The transcript has 2 exons.
GACUUUGUGAUGAUAAUAAUAAAAAAUAGUCAGAUUAUCUGAAGGAAGUCUGUCCUUCAGUGAAGCUGCCUGAAGGGGAAAAUAUGGACAUUGUGUGUUUAAGGCUGUUCCCAUCCAGUGGGGUGUUACACAUGAGAGUGUUGCUAUAAAGGAAUACUGCAAAGAAGGGGAUGUAACAGUAUUGCCAACAGGUAUCUUGAUUGACAACAAUUUUUGUUUACAUAUCAUUGAUAUCAUUCUUCUAUGAGGACAAUAAAGAAUAUUUAAUUUAAGAAUAUAUUAUUUGUAGGUAUAUGGCUUCAUGAGACAGGAGUCUUAGGGGCUUCACCUGAUGGUUUUGUGCAAGGAACUUUCAAAGACAGUUUGAAUGUGCACCUCCAACAUCCUCAGAGGAAAACGUUGCCCGACAUAGUGGAGGUCAAAUGCCCUUUUUCAGCUAAGGACUUGACUGUUGCAGAUGCAUGUAGUACAAUCAAGGAUUUUUACUUAGUCAAAGAGGAAGAUGGUAACAUUACUUUGAAAAGGACACAUGACUACUGGCAUCAGAUACAAGGACAGCUUCAUUUGUCUGGAACUCAAUGCUGUGACCUUGUCAUUUGGACUCAAGUGGACUUGAAAAUUAUUAGAAUAUUGAAAGACAACACAUGGGCUCAAAACAUUUCAACAAUGCUAGAUUGUUAUUUCUCAGUUUUUCUUCCAUCUUUAUCAGAAUGAUUUGCUAAAUAUAUCAACACUACAAAUUUAUAAUAUAUGAGAAAUUUUCAUUUGACUUGAUGUACAUAUAUAUCUAAUAUAAUAUAUAACUUUUGCUCUCAUUCAGCUUUAGUGUUCUUUCUUUUUUUUAUUCAGAAAACAUAUACUGAAAGAAAAUAAUACUUGGAACAAUAAAAUCCCCAAAAGUAACAAUUUAAGAAUUACACAGUAUGAAUUUCUUAUCUGAUACAUUUGCCAAUAAUCAUGCUUGUAAGAGGUGAGAUCAAAAUUCAAUGACUGACAAAAAACUAACUUCAAAUAUUUUUCAUAAAGAUCCUCCUCACAAGUACAUAUGAUGAAUGUUGAUAAUGAUUUUUAUGUGAAAAUCGAUUUCAGAUGACAUAUUUACAGGUAUAUUUACCAUCCUCCCCAUAACUAAUGGUAUUUGAAUUUAGAUUUUUAUCUGACAUUGAUUUUUUGAUCUCUCCCCUAACAUGCAUGUGAAUAAAAAAUUAAAAGAGCCGUCAUAUAAUAAUACAAAGAGAGAUCUACAUGUAUUUCCAGUCAACAUGUAUAGCAUUCAAAAAUUGUGGCCUAUAAUCUACUCUUACAGUAGCUCAUAUUUGUCAGCAAUCUCCUUAAGAAGGGGGGCCUGCAAAUUAACUAGACAGCAGCACAAUUGAAAUAACUUUGUCGUCAAAUGUCUAUACUGAGCUGGCACAUGAUUAAGGAUUUCAUAAUUUUUUAUCCUUUCGUUUGCUCUCUCGACAUGAAUUCUACUACGUCCAAUUUUAUAACAAAGUUUUGCCUCUUCUUUGGUAAAAUGCGAUUUAUUUGACAAAAAGGGUGGAAUGUUUAAGGAUACCCCGGAAGGAAGUUUGUCAAAAAUAUUAAAGCCUUUAUCUGCAAGAAUAAGAUCUCCAGGCUGUAAUUGGUCAAGAACUUUGCAAUGCUGUACUAUGGCUGCAUCAGAUGUGGAACCGGGAUAUAAAUCGGAAGUAAAUACAAGAGCACCAUUUGGAGCCACACAGGUCACCGCCUUUACAGUGUGUCGGCUUUUGUAGUUGCUGUAUGUAAGUGAUUGACUAUUCAUAUUUGAUGGUAUAUCUUGGGUGAUUUCUGUGGCAUCCAUGGCAAUUCUUGCCGAGGUGAAAUCUGAAAAGGAUAUUGGCAUAGACCCUUUGCACUUUAAUUGAGAAGGAAUACCCACAGCUUUCAAUACACCAUCAAAAAAGAUUUCAUGAAGAGCAGAGAUAAAUGUAUUUAUAAUGUUAGAUAUUGUAGAUCUGCUUGUACCAAAUCUAAUAGCAAGGUCUAGAUCUCGAAAGUUUAAGCGUAGCUUCAUCAAACAUAUUAGCAGUUGGUCCUCUAAACUAAAGCAGGUGACCUCCCAACCAGCAUAAUAAUUAAACGGCGCCAUUCGCUUGAGAAUUUGCACAAUAACAUUGAAGACGUCUGCUGGAAAUGAGGUGUAAAGCAGCAUCUAAAAAGUAGAAAA